CGACCUGUUGAUUGUAGCUCUUUCAGGUGUUCUCCUUUUGUUCCUUCUUUACCUACUCCCCCACCACCCUCACCACCGGUGUUCCCCUCUCCACCCCCGACACCGGUUUACUCACCUCCACCGGUGUUCUCGCCUCCGCCACCGGUGCUCUCUUCCCCACCACCACCAUCACCGCCACCGCCAUCUCCUUCGCCUCCACCACCUCCAGUUUACUCCCCUCCUCCACCUCCACCAGUUUACUCACCUCCACCACCCCCUCCUCCCCCACCGCCACCACCACCUGUUUAUUUUCCGCCACCACCUCCACCUUCACCACCACCACCGUCUCCCCCUCCACCCUCACCCCCACCACCUUCUCCAUCACCGCCUCCCCCUCCCUCGCCACCACCACCGGUAUUAUCGCCCCCGCCUCCAGUUUAUUGCGUCCGUUCCCCACCACCGCCACCGCCAAAUUCUCCCCCGCCUCCCAUUUAUUCUCCACCACCACCUCCAGUUCAUUCACCGCCCCCACCAAGUCCUUACUAUAGUUCACCACCGCCCCCGCCGCCACAUCAUUCACCUCCACCACCUCCCCACUCGCCACCCCCGCCUCCACCUAUCUAUCCAUACGCAUCACCGCCACCGCCACCCGUGCAUUCCCCACCACCACCUGUCCAUUCUCCACCACCUCCAUGCAUAGAACCGCCUCCUCCUUCUCCACCACCCCCAUCACCACCUCCAUGCAUAGAACCGCCUCCUCCUCCUUCUCCACCACCAUGUGUAGAAUAUUCGCCACCUCCACCAUCACCACACUCACCACCGCCACCACCAGUUCAUUACUUGCCUCCACCAUCACCAUCACCCCCACCACCACCUGUGUAUGCUUCUCCGCCACCUCCACCAUCUCUGCCUCCCCCAGUUUACUACCAUUCUCCGCCCCCACCCUCACCACCUCCUCCAACCCCAUGUGAAAAUCCUCCACCUACUCCAUCACCACCGCCCCCAAUCAUUUAUGAGAGCCCACCACCUCCAACCCCUGUAUAUGAGGGGCCAUUGCCACCAAUCUUUGGAGUUUCAUACGCUUCUCCACCGCCACCACCCUUCUAUUGAUUCUUUUGAGAAUUUUCCUCCUCUUGACAUUUCCUCAAAGAAACAAAAUUUACAAUUAUAUUAGUGGUCAUGGCCUCUUUUCCCUGUUCUCCAUCAAAACUUCUUCCUCUUUGGGCAAUUCUCGUCGCCGGGUGAGGACUAAUAAGAAGAUUCAAAAUGUCAUAGAGCUUAAUGAAUUAUUGCGGCAAAGGUGCUUCACCAUGGUGGGUAUUAGUUGUUGAAGAAGAAACAGAGAAGAGGCUAAAGAAAGAGGAGGUAAGAGGAGAAAGUCUCUCCAUAUUUAUUUGAAUUGUUAUGGAUAUUUGAGUUGUGAAAUAAAAUGGCAGAGAAAGAUUAGGUUGCAGGAAAGUGUAUGUAUAGGGAUGAAUGGAGACCAUAAGAAGAGUUAGAAGGCAGCAGCACUUCUGCUGCUGCUGGUUUGUUGGUUUAUUGUUAUUAUCUCUGUUAUAUCAUACUUUUAUUUCUUUUGCUUUCCAAUUUAUAGUAUAAUCAUGAACAUUUACUUGUAUUGAUUUUCAGAAUUCAGAUCAUUCCUUCUUCUCCUUUGUGUCUUAAUUUCGCUGCGUGUUUUGAUUGAUGGAGAAGCUCAUGUUUGUGAAUCAAUUUAAUUAUGCUUGGGUGUUUCUAUAUUCGUAUGCUUGUUCAUUUUCCAAAUUACUCAAAACAAGCUUCCAACUCGAUUUAGGAAAUGAGUAUCAGUCACUCUCUCCCUAUAUUUCAUCUCCAUCUGGGGUUUGAUGAUGAUGGGGCUUGAUCUAGCAAAACCCGUGCUUCCCAUGACUGACACCAACAUCAAGUUUCCAGUAUAUGGGGGAAGUCUAUUCAAUAUUUAUUUGGUGGCCAGUGUUUCAAUAUAAAAUGGAAGUGGAAGUUUUGAGUCCUUCACAAUAUUGGUUUGUGAAACUAGUCAUAGAGGCAGGCAGGUCCCCAUUGGAGAUCUUGGUGGGACUUGAACGGCCAUCUCAAGUGCCUUGAUUAUGGGGCCUUUAGAUUGAAUCCCCUCAUGGGACCCUUCUCAUUCGGUUGAUGCAAUUGGGAUUGGUACCAUGUGCCCCCCCCCCCCCCCCCCUCCAAAUUUUAAUUUUGAAAUCAAACCUGUUCACCUCACCCUCACACUUUCCCAUGGGAUUUUGGAAUAUUUUCUCUUAUAGUCUUAUCUCAUCACAUGCAUCUGAUGAAAUUGGCUGAAAACUAUAGUGCUAUUUUUAUGUUGUUGCUUUGCUUGGUUGUGAGGUUCUUUUGAAAAGCAUGCUUUGCCUUUUUUUAGUAUGGGUACAAGAAGAGAACUGGCUGAGUCUAUUCCUUAGAUGAAUCUCAGUUCUCAUCAGAAUCCAUACUUUGAAAUUCCAAUUGGCUACUUGCUCAGGUGAUGUUAUUGCUCCUUUCUUUUGGAAAAAGUCAGUGGGUCAGCUCCAUUCUCUUUCAGUUUGUUCCUCUUUGGAGAUCCCUUAUCAUCAUCAUAUGCCACCAUUUAUUGUCGUUGUUUCCCCUCUCUUUUAAAAGCUAUGUGUUUCCAUAGCCGGCAGGGGAGGGAAAUAAAGUAAGCCAUAAGCCUAUAUGAUCAAAUAUUAGACCAGAACUUCCGCCAUUUUCGGCAUAUAAUCAACGCCACCUGGCCACCACUCACUUAUUUUAACAAAACAUAGUAAACUAGGAACCUUCAACCCUCCACAGCACGAAAAUGUUGCUGCCUCCAUUACCACCACCCACAGCCAUUGCCAUUGUUCUAGAAGCCUAGAACAGCUGCUGCUUAUGGUGGUUCUGCAGUACAGCCAUCCUUUUCCACCUUGCACGCCCACCACCAUCUCCACCUCCACGUCCACAUGGCAUUUCCAAUUGGCCUGUUCAAUUUCCUCUUAGACAAGUUGGAGGCAAGAAAUUCCUUCCAGAUCAUGUUGAGACUGGAGCACCACUUGACUCAUUCUUCUCAACAGACCCUACUGGUCUCUGGCUGGAUUUGGUAUACUUCCUACAUUGCAUGUGACACUGACAGACCCAUAUGCCUUAUUUCUUCACUAGUCAUUUUCUGCCAGAAAACAGUAAAUUUCCUUCUUCCUUGCUUGGAAACUGCAAUACAAGAAUUACCAAAUUGGUCGCUACUCUCCUCCAUAAGUAUGCUUAAUUGGUUAUACUCCAAUGAAUUUUGGAAAAAGCUGCUUCCAGAAUAAUUUCAAUUUCGAAUUCUCAACAGAAAGAGCAAUUCCAAUAUAGCAUCCUUCUUUUUCUUUUCAAUAAUAAGAAAAAAUAAAUAAAAAUACAACAACCAUUUCUUUGAUUGUGGAUAAGUGAAGUUAUCACUGUCCUGGAAAGAACAAUCUAAAAUAGUCCAAUCUAAUUUCGUCCAGCACUUUAGAAAGGGGGAGAGAAUAUCAAAAUGGUGGGGAAAAAUGUCUUAUACAAAAAGGUUAUGACAAAAUUGCAUCAUUGGGUUGGGGGCACCAUACCACCCACCCUAAUAAUAACAAUUAAUUAUUAUCAUCCAUUAUAAUAAAUAAAAAACUUCUUUAUUAAAUGCCCAAUAAAUUUCAACACACACAACAUUAUGAUGUGAAAUGUCCUACAACAAGGAAAGUGGUUCGAGUCCUCCUCUAGUAAUACUCCAUGGAUUAUAUUUGUAAAGCAUUUUUCUGUCAUUUUCCAAGCCUUUAAGCUUUGCAAAUGCCCUUUUUUUGUCUUUUUUAUUUUUAUUUUUGCAAUUUAGUCAAAUUUUAGCAUUAGACCAUACCCUUGUCACAAUUAAUAUUUUCCAAGCCUAACUAAAAACUUAGAAGAAAACUUUGUCCACUUUGUCAUCUUCUACCCUUCAUCAUCCAAAGGAUGGUGAUGUAAAAUAAAUAGAAGUGGGCCCAAAAUUGAGGACCACCACAUGGGGUGUUAGGGCUUUUCACACCAUAUAUCAUGUAGAUUUUAAUGUAAUGAGUUGGUUGAGUCCACUUUCAUUACUAUAAAUGAGGACAUAACUUUCAUUUAUUAAGACCCUCAAUUGACAGCCUGUUAGUAGGUCUAAUAUUUUAAUGCCAUUUCAUAAAGUGAUGCUCCUCAAAUCCAUCCCAUUACCACCUUUUUCAUCUAAACUUAACCUUAACAAUAUCAUAGACUCUCUCUCCACCCAACCCUCUUCCCUCUCAAAUAUACAAUCCAUGAGAUUAGGCUGCUUAAGACACUUAGAUUAUUGUAGAAUAAUUAAUCCAAACAGAUGGGCAAUGUUUAAUAUGUAUUGACUCUUAGAUAUAAAUCAAAGGUCGCUAUAGUUGGUUACAGCAAAUUCGAGUAUUAGGUCAUUGCUCCAUCAGCCUUCGAGCUGGCACUGUCGCCUACCAAUGUUCCCCUGUGUCAUAUGCCUAACUUUUAGGCGUUCCAACAUUUAUUUUCCCAUGUGAUUUCCAAAUUAUCAUUUAUACCUUAACUUCCAAUCUUCUUUGAGAAAAAUAAAACAAAAUAUUUAGGAUUUUGCAAAAACACAAUCUCGACAAUAACCUUUGACCAUUCAGGUAUUCCCUUUUAAUGAUAUGGGUAUUACCUUCGAUUGACGACAGUAUAAAAUUUGAAUUAUUUUUACAUAAGUGUAUGAAAACUCAUUUUUCUUUAUUUUUUAAUAUAAUUUUCAUGGAUUGGAGGGGCACCCAAGGAUUUAAUGCUCUAACCGUUUGAGACCAAUUUUAGAUUGAUAUAAAUACAAAAUUAUGGUAGUAGGUUUACAUUAAUGUUAAGGAGAUGGGAAACUGUUGUGUCAUUCAUAUAAGGAAACACAACCGUUGUAUUAAUGAAUGCAUUUCCUUCCUAGUCAUAAAAUGGUUAGCAUCAAACUAUGUCAUUAUCCUUUUUUUUCUUUUUCUUUUUUUAAGGAUAAAUUACACUAAACAUUUGGUGGGGACGGAGUAAUUGGAGAUUAUUAUUCUAAUUAUUUUUUUAGUAUCAAAUUAAUGAAAUGGUUAGUUAUAAGCAUCCAUAUAAAUUGGUACUAGGAAUUAUAUAAUUAUAUUUGAAUUAAUAAUUGAAAUUAUAUAAAUGUAUAAUUUAAUGUAAUAAAAUUGAAUAAUGAUAUUUAUAAAUCAUAUAUAAUAUUAAAUAUAUUAACAAUUAAUAUUAUUACUAAAAAGAAGUUAAUGUAAAUCAAUUAUAAAAUGAGUCCCCAAUGGUCACCAGUUCCAAUUCCCUCCGAACCACUGGAAAUUAACUUCAAGCCCCGUGGAAUUAGUCAUUAAAAUAAAAGGUAAAAAAAUUUUAAAAUAAAAUAAAAUAAUUUCAAAAGUGUUCAUAAAGAAUAAUUCCACCCCACCUCCCUUUUUGAUAUCGAUUAGAGUUAGUUUAGUAAUGUUUUUGAAAAAUAUUUUUGAUCAAAAAUGUGUUUUUUUUAAAAUAAGAAUAAUAAAAAUAAGUUAAUAUUUAGGAAAUAAUUUUACAAAUUAUUUUUAAUUUUGAACAAUUAUUUAUAAUGUUUUUUUAAAAGAAAUAAUUGUUAAUCAAUUCUCUUUAAAACAUUAUUAGAAAAAAAACGUUUUUAACACCCUCCAAGUUGCUGUGAAAGAAACGACGUCGUUUCUUCUCUCCGUUGAUUAUCAAACGACGUCGUUUGCAAGUGUUCUUACACCAUGAAAUAUGCAACAAAAAAAAAAAAGGUAAUGAAUAAUUUGAUUGGUUAGACAUUAUCCUAGAAUUUUGUAGGGCACAUGCGCCUUUUUCAGCUUUGAUUUGAUUGAUCAGCCACGUUGAUACUAAGUAAUUGGGGGGCCUUUCACAUGGGUUCGGCUGUGUGGCUAUUACUUCCCCACUUAUUUUGGCUCUACAUGCCCUCUUUGCUUUUAAUUACCUACUUUAUCUCAUAAUCUUCUACAUUUUUAUUAUUAUUAUUACUUCUUUUAAACACUUAUUAUUAUUAUUCUAGUAAAAUAUUUUGAAGUUUAAAUAUAAUUUAAUAUUAUUUAUAAAAUAAUUUUAAAAUUAAUUCACUUAGAUUAUAUUUGAUUUUCAAAAAAUACUACAAAAAGAAAAAAAAUUAUGAAAAAUUAUUUUAUUAUGUUAAAUUGUAAUAUAAAAACUUUAAUUAAAAUUACAUAUUUAAAUAUUAUUUCAUCUUAUAAGAGAAAUAAAUUUGGAAUAAUAUAAAAAUAAUAAUUUAUUCACUUAAAAUAUUUUUUAUUUUUUAUUUUAUUUUUUCUUUUCCUUUUUUUUAUUUCCUUUUUUUUUCCCCACCACAUAUUACCUCAAAUUUUUGGAUAAUGGAACAUAGCCAAAGUUAAAAGAUGAGCAACAGGAGCUUAAAGAAAUAUUAGAAUCGAGGAACUGGCAUUGAACAUAUUGUGGGCUAGCUUUGGAUGAGAAAUGGGCCGGUUGGACGACAUAUGCUCAAAGCCCAAUUAGUCCUCCAGGCUUUGUCAUCUUGCUUGGCCCAUCUUAAAAGGAUAAGAGGGUCGGCCCAAUUCAGUCGUAAUUUGGGCCAAGAAGGAUUUUCGCAUGUGCGCUCCGAGUAACGAGAUUUAAAUGAAUACUCUUAUAUUAUGUUUGAUUCCAAUAAAAUAUUAAGCAGAAAAAGGUGUUAAAAAAAUGAUUUUUUUUUUAAUAUUCAAUUUCAUCAUGAAAAAUAUACAUAUAAAAAAUUAAAUGUAAUUAAAAUAAAUUAAAAUUUAUAUAUUUUAAAAUUAUUUAAUUUUUAUAUAAAAGAAAUAAAAUAAAUAAAAAUGAGUCUAUACUAGCCUAUAAAAAUAACUUAUUUAUUUUAAAUUUAGUUUUUAUUUUAUUUUUGUUUUUACUAUUUACAAUUUUAAAAAACCACACCUAGCCUUAAUAUUGAAAUAAUUAAAUCACAUAAGCAUCUUUAAUGGGGUUAUUUGAGAUCUCAUCGACCACUUUAUGGGCUAUAUAUAUUUAACUUGGAACUUGAUGGAUUCCAAUACCUCAGUGUGUUGGUGCUUCAACCGAAUAUGGACUCCCUCCACUUAAAUAAGAGUACACUAGUGCUCCUACAAAACAACUCCCACCAAUAGAUCAUUGGGAAAGCCUCCAACACUAAAGUUAGUUUCUCCUUUUUAUAAGUACUUUUUUUUUUUCAAUAUUUUCAAAUUUGGACGUUAACUAAAUUGGAAAACUUAUCACGGUUCAUUAAUCGAAUCAUCGAUCGAACUGAUGACAUUAUAAACAUAUAAUUUAUAUAUUAUUUAAAAAUUAAAAUUUUAUUUGAAAAUCAUGAAACUAGAUUCAAAUUAGAAAUUUUAAUUUUAAUUUAAAAUUAGAAAUCUUAAAAUUUAUUUUUAAAUCAAUACCCUAUUUUAAAAUAAAAAAUUUAUUUAAAACUAUAUUUAAAUUAAAAUGACAAGUUUUAAAAAUCAUAAAAUUAAAAAAUAAUAAAUAUAAAAUAAAAUAAAAUAAAUAAUAAUGGAGAUGAAUAUGGUAAAUAAAAAUAAAAAUAAGAAUCUGGAAAAGGAAGAGGGAAGAGGUGCCACUGAAAGAGAAAACGAUAAGGAGAGCAUCAUGACAACGACGCAUAAGGAUGGCAACAGGGCGGGUUCGAGAUGGGUCGCUCCCAUCCCAACCCCGCCCCGUUUAUUUGAAACAAUUCUCAUCCCCGUCCCAUUUAAAAAAUUAAACAGGGUGGGACGGGACAGGGCGGGGGUAUGAUAAAUUUAACUUUUUUUUUAAUUUUAAUUUUUUAAAAAGAAAAUUACUUUUAAAUUUUUUAAUUAUAUUAAAAUAAAUAUAUUUUAUAAAUAAUUAAAUUAUUAUAUUUUUUAUAACUUAUUUUAUUAAAAAUAUUUUUUAUUAUCUAUAUAUUUAAAAUAAUAAAAUAAAAAUUAAAUUAUUUUAAUUUUAAAUUUUAAAUUAAAUUUAAUUAAAAUUUUAAUUUUAUAUAUAAUCGGGACUAGGCGGGCGGGUGGGGCAAUAUCUGAACCUGCCUUGGGUUUUAAAAAAAAUUCUCAAACUCGUUCAUUAAAAUUAAACCCCCGUCUCAUUAGGGGUGGAGUGGGGCGGGGCGGGGCGGGGCGGGUACCCGAAAAGACUUAUCCCAUUGUCAUCCCUAAUGGCGCAGGGGGUAUUGGGCGGGGGGGAGGGGGGCAAAGAUUGUUGGUGCUUUAUGUGGUGGGAGGGAUUGGUUUGGUUAGGGAAGGGGGGGCUCGUCGACGUCGUUUUGAUGCUGUAAAAAGAAAAAAAAAAUGGUUAAAUCGGCUAGUUUUUAAAACCAUGAUUUUUUCAAUAGUUUGUUCAACAAUUUAGGAAGUGAGUUUCAUUGCAAGAUUACCUUUAUUAGGGUUGACAAAUAUGAUGAGGCUUAUCACUUACUAAUCGAAUAAAAAAUUUAUUAGAUUAGUAAAGGUCGUUUACACCUUUUUACCAUUUGGCAACUAACAUAUAUGGCAUGUUUAGUCACUUAAAAAGUGACAUCAACAUUCAACAACCUAUUUUUACUUUAGCAAAACCAAUAACUUUGAAUUAGGAUGUCCAAGUCGCUAAUACCAAACAAAAAAGGAAGAACCAUAUUUUCUUAUUGCAUUCAAAGCUAAUCAUUUUUAUGUCAUCUUGUGAUUCACCUUUGGUUUCGAUCCUCAACGAUAAAGCUAGAAGAGAUGAGCACUAGCUCCAAAGUUAGCAUAAGAAAAAGGGGGUCAUUGACAUGGAAGAUCCUCAGAUUGGUACGAAUAAUUGAACAUAUAUAUACCAACAACCAAUGGCAAGAUGAUUCAUUUUCUACAAAUUUGAAAAACAACUUUUCCACUAUUAUUGGGAGCAUUUUGGUGUCGUUGUUGUCCUAGACCAUUUGCUAGCUCUCGCUGUUGUUGUCCUCGAUUGUUGGGCCCAUUUGGAUUCCAUUGCCGAGUGCUUUGUCCUCUGCAAGAGUGGAUGAUAUCAUGAUAUGAGAAUUUAACCAGCCACGCCCACCAUCGCCACAUCUAUUUCACUCACCAUCACGUUAACUAAGGAAGGCUGAAGCAUACGCAAGGUACGUCUUCUCCUUCGCUCUUUGUGAAGCUAGAGUAUGCAUGUAUCCUUGAAGAGCCCAAACAAGUUGGCUAAAUGAAGGAGCUAGUGAUAUGGAAUCUUGAAAAAAAUGUGAACACAUCAUGGGAAAAGAGAUAUUUGAUGGGUGGUGCUUAAUCAACCAUUCUUAAGCCCGACAAAAACUACUUAAAAUAUUCGAUAAGACAUCAUUGGAAAAGAGAAGAUACGAGGAACUUAUUUACAUUUAUGUGAAUUUCAUACGACCACCAGUUUUUAUAGAUCUUUUUUCCUAUUAUAUUCUUUGUUAGCUAUAGUCAAAUGCAUGACAAAAAUGAUGGGGAUAAAGAACCAACUUGUUUAAUCCUUAACCACUAGCAAGGUUUUCAUAGGAGAUCAAUUAAAAGAAAACUCAAAUCAAAUUAAAAAGAUACAAAUCAAAUUCUAUCAAAUAGGCUUUUUUUUUUUUUUUUUUAUGAAAGGAGACUACGAAAUAUAAUACCUACAAAUACAAUUGAAAAAUGAGUCACAGUAAUUUUCAAAACUAAAUUUUCUAACAUUGUAAAGGGAAUUUGACCAUCAAAUGAUUGAAUCUAGAUUACAAAUAUCUUUUUUUGUUAAACAAUCUGUUGUUGUAUUUGUUUCCCUAUAAAUGUGAUGAUAAUCAUAGAUCCUAAAAUAACUUCUAAAUAUCUUUCAUUAAUAACAUAAUAGAACUAUGAAUAUUAUUCUUUUUAUUAUUACAAUCUAUAAUUAUUUUUGAGUUACCCUCAAUCUCUAGGUUUAAGAACUCAUUGUUUUUUAUAACUGAUAUGUCAUCUCUUAAGGUCAUAUAUUCUGCAAUAAUUAUUGAAGCAUUACUUAUAUGUCUAUUCACAACCAUUUGUAUGAUACCAUUAGUGUCUCUAAUAACUCAUCCUGAAGCACUUUUAUUCUCUAUCCUUGAACCAUCAAAUAGUUAUUUAUUACAAUUAUAUAUUAUGCACUUUAACACCCUCUUUUACUUACAACCCCACUUUAACAUCCUCCUUUGUAUGCAACCUCGUGCUCACAUGUGGUCCAAAUAUGCAAAUGAGGAAAACGAAUAUGCAAUGAAACUCAAAUAUAUGAUCUCCCAUCAAACGAAAUUAUGAUGUGAUAUUAAAUUACUAAUUUUCUUAAAAGUUUAAAUGAACAAUUUUAAAAGGAUUGGUAAUUCAACAUUAAGGUGGUGUUUGUUUUUUUACUUAAUUCUAAAUAGAACUUUAAUGUUUAAUAGUGUUAAAUAUUAGGCUGUUUGUUUUUGUAGUAUUUUAUUUCUAUUAAGUAUUAAAAAAUAAAAAAAAUCAAUAUGUUAUUUUUUCUAUUUAGAAAAAGUUAUUGUAGACCCCCAUUUAGGCAUGGAUCACUUUUUCUCUCUUUGUUUUUGCAGAUCACAUUUUUUAGCCAGGUGUCACUAUCCCAGCGGGCCACGUGUCACAUCCUUAGUGGCCAUAAGGAAUCAACCUCGCUUUUUUAAACUGCAAUAGGACUUUGACACGUGGAGGAACUUUCUGGAAGGGGGUCCCACAGGCCGUUAGGGGGCGCGGAUGAGAGAGAAGGAAAGGUGGCUGCAGAAGGAGUGGUGCAGGAAAGGUGGCUGCUGCAGAGAUCGUUGGAGGUGACAGCAUGGUAAAGGGACAGAGGAGGUGGUGAAAAGAGAGAGGAGAGAAGAAAAAAGGAGAGGAGUUUUUCUGAGGGUUCGGGAGGAAAGGAGUAUGGUGGGAACUUGAAGAGAAAGCUAAGAACAGAGGAGGUGGUGAAAAAAGGGAGGAGGGAAGAAAAAAAGCGGAGGAGUUUUUCUGAGGGUUCGGGAGGAAAUGAGUAUGGUGGGAACUUGAAGAGGAAGCUAAGAACAGAGGAGCGUGGAGUUGUUAGGGAGUCCAGGACACAGAGCUGAGAAGUGAGAUUUCCAGGUAUGACCAUUUGUUUUUUUUUUUGUAUAUUUUCUAUUUUUUUUCAGACUGUCCAGGUCUGAUUCUCAGUGAUUUUUCGUUUCUGCCUGUUGGGUUGUUCUAUUUUGGUGAUUACUGAUUAAAUAUUGGAAGAGUUUGUUGUGUUUUAUGUUCUAUUCUAACGAGUAUUUUUUUCCAUCUUAACUCACUGGAUGUUGGACCCAUGGAUGAAAUGAUGAAAUGGAUUCGAUAUGCUAGUUAAAGUCUUCAUGUUCUUCUUCUUGUUGCUAUCCUGUUAUCUCUUUGUUUUCUUUUCCUCUCUGAGUGCAUACUCAAGGCUCCAAGGUCUCAACUGCUUUCCGUGAUGAUGAGAACAGGCCUUUUCAGUUUUCUCCAGGCUUUCACAAUCAGCAAAUACCCUAGGUCGCAUACUACCAAACAUAUUCGUCGGCUAGACGUGGAGGCACAUCUGCUUGUGGCCUGCCCAUUGUUUUUAUGUCCAUGCACAUGUCUUCACUCUGCAUGACCCCUAUCUCUAUUCUCAUGCAAGCGUGUCGUCAUCUCAUCCCCAUGUUUUUUUUCUUAUCCACCAUACCCAUCGUUCAUCUAUCCACCUCUCUCUCUAGGUCGUCAUACUCAUUCCCUCACCCAAGCUUCCAUAUCCAUACAACCCAUACCCAUCCAGAAUUCUGUCCGCCGACAUCCCACCUUCUCCGGAUGUCUCACAUCCGGAAUUCUAUCCGUCGACAUCCCACCUUCUCUGGAUGUCUCACAUCCGGAAUUCUAUUCGGCCGACGCCCCACCUCCUCCGGAUGUCUCACAUCCGGAAUUCUGUCCGGCCGACGUCCCCAUUCUCCGGAUGUCUCACAUUCGGAAUUCUAUCCGGCCGACGUCCCCCUUCUCCGGAUGUCUCACAUCCGGAAUUCUGUCCGGCCGACGUCCCCCAUUCUCCGGAUGUCUCACAUCCGGAAUUCUGUCCGACCGACGUUCCGCUUUCUCUGGAUAUCUCACAUCCGACGCCUGACGCCGGAUGGGAGAGGAAGGCAAUUCAACUUCCCCAGACAGCUUGGCUCGUCAGCCACUCGCGAUUCGCCAGAUCCAUUUCCGCCCGCAAUCUUCUGCUCCUCUUGAUUUUAAUAGGCAUGAAUUUUUUUCAUAAUUCUGGAAUAAUGGAAUCUGUUAUAUUAAUUCAUGCAAAACAAAUGGGUUUUGGUGGGAACCCGACAUAUAUGACUUUAUAAUUGAUUGAUUGAUUGAUUUAGUUGCCAUGCAUGAUUGUCUCCAUUAUGCCCUAUGACAUGCUUGAAAUUAUUCUUUAAUUGUGCACUAACCUCACUUCUUGAUAGCGCAUUGUGGCUCGUCACCCAGGUACGUAUCUGUUCCCAUUUUGGUAUUUCUAUAUGCAUAUUUUGAUUUUCAUAUGUGCAUGAUAGUUCUGGGUAUUCACUGUUUUACUCGUCCAUUGUCAUGAUUGCUUCAUUUCAUUAGUAAAGACCUGACUUUAGGGACUUAGAAGGGUGCUACGGUCUUUACCAUACCUUCCCGAUAAGUAACCUGACCCUCGAACCCGAUUCGGUUUUUCGCAAACCGCCUUUUCCAAAAUAAGAAGUCACACUUAGGGUUUUUCUUUCUUAUUUUGUUUACUCUUUUAAAACUAAAACAAAAAUAAGUGGCGACUCCAAGUCAUUUUUCCUAAUCAAUAAAAUCAUUUUUCAAAUCAAAAUCGAGCUCGUCAUCGAGUGGAAAACGCAUUGAGCCGAAAUGCAGGGUCCACAGUUACAUAUUUUGGUUUUUUUUCUAUUUAGUAAAAAGUUUAUAAUAAUAAAAAAAAAAACAAACAACCUAAAUUCUGAAAACAAAUUGUUUUUAGCAAAAAGCCAAAAAAACAAACAUCACCUAAAUCUUUUUCAUUCAUGAAAGAAAAAGAAAUAAGUCUUGAGAAAAUCCAUUUUUCAUGUAAUGAUAAUAAUUUAUUAAAAUUAGGUAAAGCUCAAAUCUCUUCAAAACUUCAAGAUUGCAUUCAAUAUUUCAAAAUAUGAUUAAAAAUAGAAGUCAAUUAUAAUACCACAUAAAAAAAAAAAUCAAAAUCUUAACAAACAUGAGUUUUAAUUUUUAUGAGAAAUAAUUUUUUAUUUUUAUUAUUUAUUUUUACACCCGUUUAUAUUGAAGGUAGAAAGAUGUCGCAACAACACAAGCACUUCAAAAUUCAUGGAAAGACUCCACUUGGCUCCCUUCCAAAUGUAGUAUUGAAGCAACAAAUAUCAACCUCAAUUCUUAUCCAAUUCAAUCAUUGUUUAGAUUGAAAAUUUUCCAUUUAUUUUUUAUUUUAUUUUUUUUACCUGCUAAAAUUAAAACUCGAACAACAUUUUGAAACAAAAACAUGUAUGAUAAAAAUAAGAAAAAACAAAUAUUAUGUUAUGUUUUACAAGUGUUUUAAAAAAUAGUUUUGAAAAAUAAUUUUUAAGAAUAUAUUUAUUUUUAAACUGUUUUUUAAUGUUUAGUAAAAUAAAUGUUUGUUGAGUAACCUAAAAUAUUUUAACCUAUUUUUUAUAUUUUAAAUAUAAAUUUUAUAUUUAGUGUUUUAUUUUUAAUCAUUUUUUAUAUUUGUAUAAUCACUUUUUUAAAACAGUCCUUAAAAAAUAAUUGAAAAUAACCAAAAGAUAUUUGUCUGAAAACAUUUUGGGCAUAUUUGGUAACUAUUUACGAUAAUAGUUUUCUUUUCUUUAGAAUAAAAAAACAAGAAAACAAGUUUGAUUACCAAAAUUGUUUUAUAUUUUUUAUUAUUAAGAAUAAAAAAUAUGGUGUUUUUAAAAAAACAUCUUUUAAUUAUUUUUUAUUAUUUUUACUUGUCUUUUAGAGCUGUUUUAAAAUAUAAUUAUACACACUUGUAAAAUGAUUAAAAAUAAAGCACUAAACAUAAAAAUUAUUUUUUAAAAUAUUAAAAACAUUUUAAAUUACUAGAUAGACUUUUGUAUUACAAAACAUCUUAAAAUAAUUUUUGAAAAUAGUUACCAAACAAACACUUUGCUUUUCCAUUUUUUUUAUUACUAAAUACGUUUUUAAAUAAUUUUCGAAAUAGUUAUCAAAUAGACGGUGUGUUUUUCAUUUUUUUUUAUUACUAAAUGUGUUUUAAAUAAUUUUUGAAAAUAAUUAUCAAAAGACACUUUAUUUUUUAUUUAUUUUUAAUUAUUAAAUGUGUUUUUAUGUUUAUGUUCGAAAAAAAGGGAAAAAUUUUAAAAAUAGUUGUCAAACAAGGCUAAAGGUAAUAAAAGGAGUGUUAUCCAUGUGAUUGUUCAUAUAAGUUGUGGAAAGUGUAUGAUAAAUUAUUAAAUUUUAAAUCAUUCAGGCAUAAAAGAACAUGAGAGCAUGAAAUUUGAAUAGGCAUAUCCUAUUGAUCUCGUUUUUUAGUAGGCACUAAAUCCUAGUGCAGCGGAUCCAAAAAUGCUGGUAGGUGGAAUCCAUGAUCCAUAAAGCCUAAAAUUACUAGCAUGAUUGAUGACGUGUCAUCCCAUAAUUGGGCCCCUAGGAAUCUAAUACAGUUUAAAACUUUGAUCUUAGCGCCUAACGGCUACUUUAUUGACGUUACGUGACUUGCAUCAACUGACUUUCAGUUUAUCUUAUCGUCCAACUGGCCACCACGUGUUCCCAACUAAUUAACACCAUCUCCCCCUUUUAAAAAUGUUAAAUUAUUCAUAUUUAUUAAACAUCUACACUUCAAUUAAAUAAUUAAAAGUUUAAGCACAAUUUAAAUAGAAUUUAUUCUAACUUAAACUUAUUUAUUCAAAUUUAAUGAUUAUUUUAAUCCAACUUUGGUUCUUUAAGUCAAAAGUCAAGCAGUUUAUAAGUGUUAUUUUGGGCAUUAUUUUAUUUUUUAAUAUUUUUAAUAUUAAAAAAAAACACAUCAUUUCCAUUUUAUUAAUAUUCAAGUUCUUUUUAAAAAUAUUUAGGUUAUAUUUGAUAAAAACUAAGGGAAGGAAAAUAAAAAAAUAAAUUUAAAUUUAAUAAUUUAUUUUUUUAUGUUUUUUCAAAUUCAUUUCCCUUAUUUCACUUUAUUAUAACAAGAUUAACUAAUUUAAAAAUAUAUAAAUUUUAAAUUAAUUUUAAUUAUAUUUUAUUUUCUUUUAUAUUUUUUUUUAUAGUGAAACCAAGUAUCAAAAAAAUCAUUUUCUUCAAUAAUUUUUUUCUUUCCCUAAUAUUUUUCGGAACUAGACAUAACCUUAGUGAUACUAAAAAGAGAGAAAAGUGUUGGGCAAUCACGUGAUAAGAAAUAAAAUUUACACAAAUAAUCUAUCACAUUUUUUUUUUUGAGAAAAAAUAAAUUUUUGAGGAUUUGUUUUGAAAUUUGGAUAAUUUUAAAGCAUAUUUUUAUUAUUUUUAUUUAAUUUAUGGGAAUUUUUUAAAAAAUAAUUGUGAAGAUAUGCAAAUGAUUACAAUUUAAAUAUUAUGAAUAAAAAUUGUUUUUAAAAAAAUAUUCGAAAUUAGGAAAAAUUGAAUAAUGGUACAAAUAUAAAAAAAAUUUUGAUUAAAACAAAAGUAUUAUGAAUAAAAAAUUAUUUAAAAAAAUAUUGAAAUGCAGAAAAUUGAUUGUGGACAUUUUAAAAUUUUAAACAAAUUUUUCUGUAAUUGAUUUGUCCGAAAAUAUAUGGGACCACGGAUGUUUUGUGUAAUUACUUGUCGUAGUGCUUCUAUUUAUUUAGAUGUGAUCCAAGCAAGUUCAAGUGUUUGAUGAGACUAUCUACUAAAAAGAAUAUGAUUAUCUUGAUAAAAUAUUCCCUUCAUUCUUCCUCUUUUGUUUCAAGUGCUUGAAGAGCGUAUCUACCGAAACAAAUAUGACUACCUUGAAUAUUCCCUUCAUUCUUCCUCUAUAUUAUUUCAAGUGCUUGAAAAGCAUAUUUACUGAAACGAAUACGAUUACCUUGAUAAAAUUUUCCCUUCAUUCUUCCUCUAUGUUGUUUCAACUGCUUGAAGUGCAUACCGAAACGAAUACGAUUACUUUGAUCAAAUAUUCUCCUCAUUUUUCCUUACGGAAUCUGAUUCCUUUGGGGUUAUGGAUGGGUAUUUUUCAAAUUCCAUUUCUACUCUAAAAUCAAACAUGAGAGCUUCUUCUCAUCCAACUCCUUAUGAAUGAAAUGAUUUAAAAAAAAACAAAAACAAAUUUGUUCUAAAAACCAAGAAUUGUUUUUUAAAACUAAUCUCAAAAAUUAUUUUUUGAAAACGUUUCCAAACAUGCACUAAAAUAAAUGUAUUAUUAAAAUAUGUUUGGUUACCAAAAAUUUUGAGAAAAAAAUGUAAGGAAAAAAAAAUAGAGUGGAAAAAUAGAAGGAAAUAAAAAUAAAGAAAAAUGAAUAAUGAGUUUAAACUCCAUAAAUUAUUUUUACAUGUUUAUUCAAACUCGUUUUAUUUAUUUCCCUCUAUUAUAUAAAGAUUAAAUAAUUAAAAUAUAUAUAUAAAUUCUUGAUCAAAUUUAAUUAUACUUAAUUUUCUUUUAUAUUUUUAUGAUGAAAUCAAAUAUAAAAAAAAUAAUUUCUCAACAUUUUUUUCUUUUCUUAAUACUUCAACCAAACAUGGUCUUAAAAUAUAAGAAUAUUUCCCAAUUUACUAAUUUGAAAAUAUGAAGAUGAAAUCUAAAAAUGUUAAUAGUGGAAGUUUGUGGAUCAAAUUAAAAUAAAAGAAAGAAUGUUAAUGGAAAUGAAUGGGCAUCUUUCUCAUGCGGAAGAAGCCACUCAUUUGCUUAAAAGAGGCCUGCCCAAUGCGAGGCAAGCAACCACUGCCAGUUACGACAAGGGAUUUGUCUUUUCAUGAUUUUUACGUUGGAUUAAAACCCUUUUACGUGGAGUGAAACAUCAUUCUACCUUCCGUGGUUGGCAUCCACUCUCCAACAAUUCAAGCGAUAUCAUCAUUGUACAAGUAUAACCCACUAAAGUGAAAUCAUCAUGGUAAAAAUAUAAAUUAAGAAAAAAAAAACCAAAUUUAACAUCAUGUUUUUUACCUUUCAAAUUAAUAAUAAUAAUAAUAAUAAUAAUAACAAUAAUAAUAAUAAUAGUAAUAAUUUCAAUAUAAAAUAUAAAAACUCUUAACCACUUCCAUUAAAUAAUUAUUUUUAAGUAUCGAAAAAUUAUCAGAAAUCAACUAAUAUCACGUACAAUUUUCAAAUCAUAUUAUUUGUAUCUCAAUUUCAUUUUUUCAGUAUCUUCAUUCAACGACCUAAAUCUUAUUAUGCAUAUUAAAAAUCCAACUUUAAAAUUUGAUCGGUACCAUUAAACACUAAACUUCAAUUCAAACUACUUUACGUAGUUUCACUUGCAUAUUUUUGUAAUAAUAAAUUUCAUGUAAAAAAUUAUUUUUGUUUAAUAUCCUUAAAAAUUACUUUAAUUACAAGAUAAAGGAUGUUUAAUGGACACCCAAAAGUCCCAAGAAAUAAGAAUGAAAAUUUUAUUUAAUUUUUUUUUACCGUUGGUGAUUCAUUUAAAGUGAAAUUAAAAUAAAAAUUUACAUUUUUUUUUGGAAAAUCAAAAUACAAUGAUACUAUGAUACAAUUUUCAUGGGAAUAAUUUUUUUAUUUAUAUCUUUAUUUUUAAUAAGCGAUUCAAAUACAAUAUUCCUUUUUUCUAUGUUCUAAAUAUAUAUUUGAUGCUAAUAAUAUUUUUUUUUUUAAUCUAAUAAAAAAAGGAGAAUGAUUUGCAGGCAUGAAGUGCACAUAUCAUAUUGUCUAAGAAGAGGAGAAUAUGCAUGGCUCAUGAUGACUGUUACGCAUGUAGUUAUUAUUAUUAUUACUAUUAUUAUAUUUUUAUAAUAAUUGCUUAAAAAAAUUCUAAAUAUAAUUAAUAAAAAAAAUUAAAGCUAUGAAUCGAAAUUGAAAAUUUUAUUUAACAUGAAAGGUAGGAUCUGUGGCGGAAGCAGAAAGCAAACGGCGGGAAAAAAGAAAGAAGAAAAAGAAAGCUCCAAAGCAAUCUCCGUUGGACUCAAUUCAAGGAAAAAUAAAAAUAAAAAUAAAAGAAAGACAAAAAGCAAAAGCAAAGAGAGAGAGCGCUACAUCAAAUCUCUGUUUCUCCUGUGAGUUGCUCGAACAAGCCGUGUCCGUACAGAUCUCGGACUGGUUCUUUAUCAGGUAUUUGCAUUUAUUUUGACCUUUUUUUUUUGUUGGUAUUGAAUGCGAGAAUCUUUGUGUUCUGUGUUCUGUUUCUUGAUAGUGAUUUGUGUGAAGAGAUUGCUGUAUUUGUUGAUUGCUUUGAUGUUGUUGGCGAGGUGGAUGAUUGGUUUGUAUGGUGAAGGUUGGGCCGGAAUGAAUGUGUAUUUUGUUUGUUAGUUUACAGUCUUGUUCAUGAAUUGAGUUUUGGUUGUAGAUUAUUAGAAGCCUGUGAAUGUCUGAUUUCUGUCUUUCUUCGUUUGGCUGAUGGGAAAAUGGAAGAAAAUGAUGGAGAUUGGCCUUGGAUUUUUGAGUUUCGAAUUUUUUCAGUAUUUGGAAUCCAACAAAGGAAAGCCUAAUAAAACUACGUUUGAUUUUGAGUAGUUCUGUUUUCUUCUAUUAUACCACAGUUUUAUUAUUUUGUUUCGUUUAUUUGCCUCUAUUUUUCCCGGAAAACAAACAGGGUAAAAUAUGUAGCUUCUCUUCUUCUAUGCAAAAUCAAUAAUUGGAUUGCUGUACUGUAUUGAUCUAACACCAGUGGAAAAAUUGGUUGGAGUUGUGUGCACCUCAAGGAAGGAAGUUAACCCGUAUACAGAGCCAACACGCUUAAGAGUAGUACAAGCGUUAUGGAACCUUUUUCGCAUUAAAGCGAAUUUUGGAACUUUUGAAUGCCUUGAUCAAAUUCAAAUCUCUGUUUAUGCGUAUGUGCAUGUGUGUGCAAAUAAAGGAGUCACCCAUCAAAAGAUUGCACCAAAAACUUGAUAAGCACUAAACAAUCCAAAUAGCAAUGGCGUGCGUGAGUGCUUGCUCUGGACAAUCAUGCCUCAACGGUUCAGAUAAAUCCAUGAAAGUAGGAGAAUAUGCCCAUCUGUAUCAGACAAUGCCUUGUCGUGCAUUGCACGUAUGUACUCUCCCACGAGAUUCUCUGAUAACUGAAGAUGGCUCUUUUGGGGAAUGGUUUCUUUCUGAAAGCUUUUUAGGUCCAACAACUCUACGGGACUUGUUAGUGCUACUAUCACUGUUAUUUGUAGGAAUGAAAGACCUCAUCAUGACCCUAGAAACCCAGCUUGUAGAAUUUGCCUGGUGUAUCAAGGAAGCAAACCGAAUACCAUUUCUUAACAAAAAUAGAUCUUUUAAAGGAAAUUUUAGAUUGAAUACAGGGAGAGCCAUGAUCGAAAGACUUGGCUCUCAACAAGAGUUGAGCUUAAAAAAUUGGGAUUAUUGAGAUUUUGUUGUGUAGGCCUUAGAAAACAGGAUUUAGUCAAGUCCAACCCUGAAGCCAUGCAUUAAGCUUACUUAUUCAUUUUUCAUUUUAUUUUCCCCAUUUCCACAGUGUGGGUUCCAUGACAGGUACUGCCACUGAGGAAAGAUAUUUGUGAUAUGACCUUAUGAUUCGUCAAAAACAUGUCACCAUAUAUAUGUCUUUGUUUUUUAGUUCUGUGCUGCAGAGGUGGGAUCUGGUAACACUUCCUCAUUGAUGUUUGGUAUGGUUUUUCCUAAGUUCCAAAGUUUGCAGUACAUAGAACUCCCAUGCUAAUGAUCAUUUUUGUCAGCAAUGCAGAUAAAGAGAAUCUGGUGAAAUAGAACCUGUCUUCGCCUCACACCAUUUAUGCUCUCUGUGAUGAGGAGUGUUGCCAACAUUCAGGUAUAAAUGGAGAGUGGUGCAAGCAGUGGCAAUGGGCGACAUCCUGAAGGCAUGAAGGAAUCCUGGUUUAGCCAAUUCCGGAACAGUCCAAACCCUUGGAUGGCUAGAUAUGUAUAUGGUUUGAUGUUCCUCAUUACUAAUCUACUAGCAUGGGCCGUUCGGGAUUAUGGCCGUGGUGCCCUGACAGAGAUGGAGAGUAAGAUUUAUCUGAUUCUUUAAUGUCUUGCAGUUUAUAACUUAGUCUGGUGUUUUUAACAACUUCAAAUAAAGGCAUGAAUGCUAAUAGACUCUAAUUUUUAUAGAAAUUUUUUAAAGGUAUAUAAACCAUGUUUUUGUUUCAUGAUUACAAGCCUUGACUUGCCUCCAAGAGGAAGUGAGCUCUUCAUUUGUCAACCAAUUUUUUCAUUCUUCAGGGCACGCCCUGUCUUCCAUGAAAAGUUAACCUUUUUGUUUUGCGUUGCUCCAUAAUAGGUGUUAUUUAUGCUUGAUAUGAAAUAUCCCUGUAGUGUUUAAGCUUUAUCGAGUCAUAUAUGGAUUUUUAUAGGAAUAAAGAAAAGUAAAAACGUGCUUAAUACAUGUGUGAGGCUGAUGGGUCCUUCUGAAAUUCCAUUUGCAAGAGUUUUCAACUUCUGUUACCAUCUGACAUAAUCAUUGCUCUUGUUAUAGAUAGAAUUUAGAAAAACUUGUGUUUGUAGCAAAAUGUGAUGGCGUUUGGACAAGCUGUUAAAUGGCCCCAGACUAAACUCCUUUUCAUCUGCUUUCUGUUUACAUAAAAUAGACAUCUAAAAUGGGUUAUCAGUGAUCAUUUUCCUGGCCUUUAAAAGAUACACCCAGUGGGUUUAGAUUUGGAUUGAACCAGAUGAUUACAUUGUUUUGACAGUCAACCAACCCGGUUUUCAGACUCAUAAAUAACCUGUUUCCAGAUUAUUUUUUUCAAUUAUACCAUUAAAAUAUAGAUGUCAAUCUUACAAUUAAUAUAAGCUGCUAAUACAUUUUUAGCAUGAAUGCAGGACUACAAGGGUGCAAGGGUGUGCGAGAUUGUUUGGGAGCAGAAGGAGUUCUGCGCGUUAGCCUGGGAUGUUUUGUAUCCUUUCAACAAUAAGAUCUACAUGACUACUUGUCUGACAGUUUUGAGGUUUUACAAUUAAAUGGCACAGGCAAUGAGCAGAAUCCCAGAUCAAAGAUCUUCUCUAUAUUUUUUUUCAGAGUAACUUGACUGAAGCACAUUUUCUCUGUAGAAGCAAGAAAUCGGAAAUUCUGCGAAUUGCUCCUAUCCAGAGCAGAUGGAAGCAAUUUGCACACGAAGGAUCUGGGGAUCCUCAAAACCCAGAUAUCAGCAAACCAGAAUUCCAAAUGAAAAGUGUCAGAAUUAAUGUAUUAUCUGAUAAUUGUUCUCAUCUUGCUUGGUAAAAGUGCGUAAAUCACACCUAAUUUUAAAGAGAAGAGUUUGAAACCCCUAUUUCUAGAAAGAAUAAAUUCAAACCGUCUUAUCACUGAUUUUGCUGGAAUGUUAGUCCAAGUUUGCAAUCUAGAACCGAAGUCAUAGGACAUCCCUUGAUCUAUACUGACUGUUUAUUUAAAAGGACUCAAUAAUUAAUGAAUACAUUUGCUCAAAGUAGCUUCAUCUUCCAUUUUAUUUGAUCAGAAUGUGAGCCUUAAUACUAUAUCAGACUUUCUAUUUCAUAAUGUUUCUUUCAACAGCUGGUACAUCCAAGUUGCACAAGCCUAGAGAAUUGUGGCAUUCUGGUUGGUGGUCUGCAAAGAUUAUCUUGUGGGUUGCCUUAAUGAUGCUCCCCUUCUUGGUUCCUUCUGCUUUUAUUCAGCUCUAUGGUUAGUUGACUGCAGUCCUUGAACAAGAUUGCAAUUGUUGUUUUUCUCUUAUCAUUUCAUGUACAUGAUCUUAAACUCGUGUUGGCUUUACAUUUAUUACUUUCAUGCCUCUGAUGCAAUAAUUUUUGGCAGGGGAGAUUGCACAUUUCGGUGCCGGGUAUCAUUACUUCCUGUUAUAAAUUCCUGUCACAGACCAUGUACAAUCUUUUUAGACGUGGUUGUCGUAGAAGUGAAAAUUAUAAGCUUACCUUUCAAGUUCAGUUACAGAAAUUGCUGGGGCUGUGUUUGUGAUAUCUUUCUUUGAAAAUUUAUUACAGGGUCUUUCUCUUAAUUCAGCUAAUAAGCAUAAUCAGCUUCAUUAAAUGGCUGAAUGAUUGUUGUCACUCUGGCAAAUAUGCAGACAGAUGGUAAAAUCCUCCUUAUUCCAACAGAUGCUAAUUCAAAUCAUCUUUUUGUUCUAUUAAAGCCAUAUUGAUUUCAUUAAGACAUUAUAUAUCAAGAUAGUCCCCUUCUUAACAUGAAAUUUCCAAUGUUAAAGGGGGCUCGGAAAAGCUUUCAACAUGGAUAACUUACAAUAAGAUUUACCUUGCAGCCGUAUCCAUGUAAUGUUACUUGCAACUACUGCAUAUGUCAUAUGCAUAAUGGGGAUCAUCUUGAUGUACAUUUGGUACGUACCAGAGCCGUCUUGCCUCCUUAACAUUUUCUUCAUCACCUGGACACUAGUGCUCCUCCAGCUCAUGACUAGUGUCUCUCUCCACCCAAAGGUAAGUUGUAAUUUUCACCAUCCUUUUCACUCUGACAUGGCGACAUAAAUUUGUUAUAGAAUUGUUCUUUUUUCCUGAAACAGGUAGAUGAAAGUUUCUUGACUCCAGGGCUUAUGGGCCUGUAUGUUGUGUUCCUCUGCUGGUGUGCUAUUAGAAGGUAUGAUUUCUAAUUUCUAUUAUUGUAAUCAAAUUUACUGCUUGAUGUUUUUAAAACUGAAUUUCUUACCAAUAUCAGCUUUCCAAUAUAACAUGGUUGGAAAAUAAAAUCUUUCUUUAGUUGCACAUAAACCUUUUGCUCGACUUCUCCAAAUGAUACUAAUAUAAAAAAAUAAAUAGGCAAAAAAGGGAAAAAAGAAAAGAAAAGAUAUGCUGGUGCUAUCAUAUUUGUACUUAUAUCAUAUCUUCUUAGGGACGAAAGCUUAGAUUUAUAUAAUACUUUGCUUCCUUGUACCAACCCAAGAGAGAUCCGCACCAAAUUCAUGUAGUCUAUGUGUUGUCUCAGAAUCUAAAUCCAUGCAUCCACUUGCUCAAAAGAAGCCCAUUCAUUGUAGCUGAAUAGUUACGGUUCCUCUAAAUCAACAAUUAGGUAUCACACAAGCCUGAACAGAACAAUAAAUUUGAGAAACUAAUAGGUCUAAACAAAUAGAACUUGCUUUUGUGAUUACUUUUAUCAGGGCUUCUAGCUGCCUCAACUUUUUCUUUAACUAGUGUCCAUUAUACAUCUUUGUGCUGACAGUGAACCACCAGAGGACAGAUGCAACCAGAAGGUGGAAUCAGCGACCAAAGCAGAUUGGCUUACCAUCAUAGUAAGAUUUGAGAUCUCAGAAAUGAAUUAAGAAUUUUAAAGUACUAAUUAAAUUUCCAAACAAACAUGAAGUCAUCAAAGUCAUGACAGUAUUGUGUGUAAUAAUGCCUCAACCUUCAUUGCAGCCUAGAAGGCUAGAACAUAUUCUUUCCCAAUUUAAUCUAUGGCCAUGCUAAUAUUGUUGACAGGCACUCACAUUGUCUCUAAGUAUCCCUUAUUUCUAAAUGGAAACCAUCUCAAAGUUAUCAUCCUUCAACAUGUUAUUGUACAACAUUAUGCUCAUAGCUUAUCCCAUUGCUAGUAUGUAGGAACUGAUACCUCAUCAUGAAUCCAAACACAACUUUUUUAAUCAUGGCUGCAGCAGGAAAGAUGUCAAAGCUUUUAUUGCACAAUUUCCAUUUUUUUGCCUUGCAUAACUAUAGAUCUCAUUUGGUGACAGAGCUUUAUUGUUGCGCUGCUUGCCAUGGUCAUUGCAACAUUUUCAACAGGCAUUGAUUCCAAAUGCUUUCAGGUAUAUUACACUCAACUACUUUUAUUUGGGUAUCACACUUUUUACCAAACUGUCUUCUGAAAACAACUGUUUCAGUUCAGGAAGGAUGACACACAAGCCGAAGAUGAUGUUCCCUAUGGUUAUGGCUUCUUCCACUUUGUUUUUGCCACCGGAGCCAUGUAUUUUUCAAUGCUAUUGAUUGGUUGGAAUACUCAUCAUUCCAUAAGAAAGUAAGUCUCCAUAUCUCUCAAAAUACUUCCAUUUGUUUUGUACUUUUUAUAGGACACUUGAAAUUAAGAUCUGCCAAAAUGGAUAGUUAAAGCAACCCCUCCAAAAGAAUGUAACUAAAGAUUUUCUCAACCUUUUCCUUGAGGAAUUUGCACUACCAAUUUUCAACUGAUUGGAUUGGGGUCAAGGUUUCCUGGAGUUGGUUUUUGAGUUGAACUUCUCAUGAGCAUAAUCAUUGAUGCCUUCAUAUCCAAAACUUUUUUCUUUAUUGAAUUAUCAGUCCUUGCAACCAACUAUACAGCACACUAGACACUGAUGUAUAACGACAGGUUUAAUCAUGCUGAAUAGAUAGAAAUGUCAGUCUUAGGUGAAAUAAAACUGUAAUAGAACUCAGUUUCACUUAGCAAAUUCCCUUGUCUGCUUGUUUCUCAACAGAAAUUCAAUUAUGGUUAAGUUCCUAAAGGAUGGCCUUUGCUCCAAGCACCUCUGCUCAGCUGACCACCAAUGGAGUGGCCUUCUGAUUAUGCUCUAUGUGAUUAUCUUUGAGUUCCAGAGCAGGACCAGCCUAUUUAUGUUGAAAACCAGGACUAAUGUUUCUUCUCUUAUAGACUUUAAAGUGAUUUCAAGGAGGGCAUAUACCAAUCUUAUCACAUAAUUCAUCUAGAAAUAGAAUUCUUUUAUGACUAAAGUGUGCUAUCGGCCAAUAAAUCUUAACAAUCACCAUUAUGACAUCAAGUAUGUUUUUUUCUGAGAAGCAGUAAAAAAAAAUAAUUCUACCACCCUUUUGUAAGAAAAUAAUUUAACUUCUUUGCAGGUGGACAAUUGAUGUUGGCUGGACGAGUACUUGGGUUAGAAUAGUGAACGAAUGGCUGGCAGCCUGUGUAUACCGUAAGUAUCUCAGGAAUAGGAUUGUAUUAUGGUCAUUUUGAUUACUUGAUAUCUCUUAGUUAUGUAACAAUUAAACCAGCUAACAAUAUGACCUUGCAGUAUGGAUGCUUGUGGCUCCGAUCAUAUGGAAAAGCAGACAAACAGGCGAAUCUACAUGACCAUUUCAAAAUAUCUUUAGUACCCAAUUCAUUCGAUAGUUCUUGUGGCAGUCCUCUUCCUCGAGCAGAUGGUGGAAGAAGAGGCCGCGUCUGCACACGCACAAGAAUUUUAGCAGCAGCAACUAGACCUUUGGUGACCUGAUUCAUUUCAUUUCUAAAUGAAACAAAAUAUAUAGUCCUCCAAGCCCAGCAUCAGUUAAACAAAAGAAAGAAAGAAAGUAUAUCCAGUUCUCUAAAUUUUCCAUUAAUUGCAGCAUACCAUCUGUAGAUAUAUUUACGAGCAUGGCAGGGCGAAGAUUUUGUGAUUUCAUAACCAUCAAUGGAAUAACAGUUUCUGGGUUGAACUAAUAUUCAAUUGUGCACUCUACCUGGUACGGCCAUUGAUGUUUCUUCAAGGUCCACUGCUUAGAUUUAAACGUUUGAUUCAUAAUUCAAAUGUGUGAUUUUGCCUCUUAUACUUUUCAGCUCGACAUGUGGUUGCCUAAACAAUGCGUGUUUUUUAUUAUCUUCCAAUACCUCUCCUCUUGUUUUUGGAACUUUAGCUUUGCCUGAGGCAAAAGGUUAUAAGAAGUGGCAUCUCUUUUGGCUUGCAGAAGAAAAAGCGUAGCUCACAAAAUAUGAGAACUGGAAGUAUCUUUUUCAGAAGAGAGAAAAUGUUUUUAUGGAGAUUAAUUUUCAGAUUUUUUUUUUUUUAAACUUCAAAAUUUACUUUUUCUGCACGUUCUAAAAACAGACAUGACUCAGAACGCAGCUGACAGGAAAAUUAAUCAGAAAAAUUAUUAAUCUUUUUUACUAAAUCUGUAAAGAUAAAAUUUUUAAAAAUUAUGGAUAAACAAAAAAAAAAUACUAAUAAUAAUAAGAGGGAGAAAAAUAAAAGAGCAUCACAGAUUCCGGGACACACCUGUUUGCAGUGAAACACCUAAUUCCCCUCCGUUCAGCUGCUGCGGAGAUCAGGAAAGUAAAAGUUUUGUUUUAUAAAGGUAAAUUGCCCCGACAGCUAAGGUAUUGUUUGGUUUUCUAACCUUUUUACUAAAAGUUAUUUGUUUUCAUAUCAUUUGUAUUUUUGCUUUUGGUUUAUUUCAUUAUUUAUUUUUAAAAUUUUUUUAUUGAAUAGAAAAAAUUAAAAUAUUUAAUCUUUUUCUAUUAGAGUAAACAUAAUUAUUUUUUCUUACUUUUUAAUGCUUAAUAAAAAUAAAAUAUUUAAAAGACAAAUAAUUUGAAGCUUAAAUAUCAUUUAGUAUUAUUUUAUUUUAAUUUCUAUUUAGAAUUAAAUAAAAAAUUUAAAAAAACACGACCAAGAAAUGAAAAAUUAGAUUCAAGAUUUUGAUAUUCCAUAUUUUUUCUCGCCUAUAUUCUUUUUGCUUCACCGUGGAAAGAAAGACAAAAAUGUUAAAAAAAGCAUUUGUUUUGUCACUAAAAAGAUGGAAUAAAAUAGACUACAAUUAAAAUUAGUUAAGAUUUUUAAUCUUUAAUUUUUUUAAAAAAUAAUAAUUUAUAAACUUUAAACUUUUUUUCCCUCUAUUUUGUCACUCAAAUAGAAAGGAUGACCCAUUCGAACUACUUCUUCGUACUUAUAAAUUGCGUGCAAGUGUCAAGCGUGGCCUCAAACUACAAGUACAAGCUGCAGAUGUGGGGAAAUGGUUAGGAAAAACCUGUAAAAAAAAAAACCAAAUGACUAAUGCUUGGAAUUUUUCCCUUAUCCCUCGUAAUAUUUUGUCCAAUCUCAACACAAAUAGCUGGGAAUUACCCAAGUUCCGUCAACCGAUUAAGCAACAAAAUCUUCAUUGUUGUUGUUCUUCCUACAUGUAUGAAUCCCAGGUUUAUUACCAAAAUGACCUCUGCAGUAAUGUUUGGUGGGUGAGUAUGUUAGUCACUUCUGUUUUCGGCAACACAUAAACCUAUCAGAACAUGGAAAAAAGCUUGAAAACAUGGCAUAAAGGCUAAAAUCCAAAUACUAUCUUAUUCAAAACAAAAAUCAUAUCAACAUCAAUAUGAAUAGCAUGUAAAGUAUGCUCUACCAAAAGGUAUGCUUCGAAAAAAUUUUAAAAAAGAAAAAAAUAAUUGUGCAGACUCGAAACAAGAACUCGCCAUAACAAUGGAGAGACAUCCCCCUAUGGCAGCAGGCAAAGCACAGAUCACCACAUAGGAAUACCCAUUCCCAAACCUAUGAAAGACAAUGGCUGCCUAAAUAAGACUUGAUUCCCUCAGAGGUGUCCAUCCCUCUUUCAAAUCCCCUCUAUUUUGGCCUACCUUUCUUACAGGAUAAAACUGGUUUUACACGAGAAUAGACAUUUGACUAUUACAGGUUACAGGUAUGGACACACAACUUCAUUUGGCUGCAACAUCUUACUAAAUCUACAAGAACAAUGAACCCAAAAAUUUCCAUCCAACAGAUUACUUAACAGAGAGCAUCAAGAUGAUGCUCACCCUAAAAUGGGGUCCAAAAGGCUUCGGUCUUCAUAUUUAUCCAAAUGGAUUUCCUCCAACAGAAGAAAGCUUAUCUAAGGCAGCAGGUGCAGAGGAUCUUCCACCAAUUAGAUGAUUUGGAUUCAAAGAGCUAAAAGCAGCAUCCUCACUGCCAAAGCUUCCCACUCCUUGAUGACUGCAAAGGAGAUUCAAAAGGCUCAAUAAGUUCCACACAAAGGUAAUACUAAUGCAAAUAUAGAUUAGGCAAACUGAUGCCCAUAAAACUUCGAAAUAAAUAUAAGUUGCUAAUAGAUGAAAUUUAUAAUUCAGUAAUGCAGAACCUUACUAAAAAUGUGGGUAAAAGAAAUCAAAAUUGUAAAAAUGAAAAUGCAGUUACCUGGAAGGUGGAAUGGCACCAGGUACUUGUUGCCCCAUGUAUGCUCCUGACAUUUUUGAAGCAAAAGGCAGAACAUAUAAAUAUCAAAUAAAGCAAGCGAGGGGAAAAAGGUAGGCAAGAAAAAAAUCAUGAUAUGGUUUUACUUGGAGGCAUUCCCGACGCAUAAGGCGGUACUUGUGGAGGCAUUCCCGACACAUAAGGUGGUGCUUGUGGAGGCAUUGCCAAUGGAUAUAAUGAUGACUGGGGUGGUGUCCAUGUUGAUUGAGUACCAGCACUGGAAGAAUGCAGCAAGCCCAUAGAAGGGGGCAUAUUUGGUAGACUCCCUUGCAAGGACGCCAUGGAAGGAAACUAUAUCACCAGGAACAUGUAAAAAGCAUUAGAACAAGAUUUCAUGAUCAACAGCUGAAUUGCUCAAGAACAUGUUUAGCUUAAAGAUCAAAUAUGAGCAAAAAUUUGAUGCUUCAAGAUUUAGAUAACUCAUGCAUCAAGGGCGUUAGUACUCAACAAACGGAACAAAAUAAAAAGUUUUAUUUUUUUAAAAGCACCAAAAUAAGUUACUAUGAGCACCCUUUAGUUUUUAGCAAUACUCAAGUGGGGCAAUCACAAGGCAAAUUCGACAUUUCAUUUUCUGUCAGUGAAAUGCAUGGAUUGAACAUGCAUAAAGGGCAUUGUUAAUUUACUUCUCUUUAACACUAGUUAUAACUGAUCACUUAGUCAAAGUAACACCAAGGAAGACAAGAUCAGAGAUCAAGCACAUAUAUCUAUUUGAAUGAAUUUGAUUCACUUACUGUUGGAGCUUGAGCCGGAGGUGGUUCAUUGUUGAGAUCAAAUGGGUUUGUUGAUUUUGAUGAAUGUGAGAAUGUUGAUGGCAAUGGCUGCAACAACAAACCCCUAUUAUACAGAGCAACUUUUCAUGCAGUAAUCCAAGUAAUUGGUGUGAAUCAAAAUUAAUUCAGUAACAAAAUCAUAUUGGAUUGUGAAAGAUACCGCUGCAGUAUUAUAUUGCAGGUGGAACCCCAUGCCAUGGGGUGGACCAGUUUGCCAACCUGGAACUUGCAUAGAGAUGGGUUGAUAGGUUGCAGCGAAAAGAUCCUGCAGAUGAUUCAUGAUUUACUAUGAGAUACAAAACAGAGAUAACACCAGAAUACAUCCUAGCUGGAGACCAAGAAAGAAUACAUUAC
RNAcentral lists this long non-coding RNA (28849 nucleotides) under Vitis vinifera (wine grape). Its description in RNAcentral is "long non-coding RNA (VVIN_LNC003405)". Lineage: Eukaryota; Viridiplantae; Streptophyta; Magnoliopsida; Vitales; Vitaceae. The record is from RNAcentral.